ACUACCCUCCGUCACGCAAAAAUUGUAUCAAGAGAAACGUGGUGGUCCCAUGAGCGCUAGAAGAUCUUAGAAAGCAUCGAAUUCUACGAAUCAAUUCCUACAUGUUACGAGAGAACGCCCAUUCCAAUGCACACAGGCUUCAAUAGGAAACCACCGCCAGCUUCAGUUGCACCAACAGCAGGAACAGGUACAGCUAGUCAUUCUAAUGUGGUUCCUCUGUUGUCAUCUGCAGGCGCAAAAGGUUUUUCAGGUCUGCUCAGUGGUGGAAGCCACGAUGGUGAUGACAUAAUAGGUUCGCUUGAGGAGGAGACAUCGCACUGUAGGAUCAGCUCGAGCGGAAGAAGCUGUCUAAUAAGAAUAAUGUCGACAUCCAGAAGGUGAUUUGACACUUGAUAGUGCCAGGUCCGAUGCAAAUAUGCGAACGCUAGGAAAUAUCCAAAUUUACAGAGAAUACAAGGAAUCACUGCGUCAGCGCAAUCAGGUCCAUAUCUACCGACCCAAAGAGCAGCAAACCUAUACACGUAGCCCUAUUCCAAAAGUAAUAAAGUUUCGAUAAAACUCUUAAAUAGUUU
Molecule: long non-coding RNA, 572 nt
Organism: Toxorhynchites rutilus septentrionalis
Lineage: Eukaryota; Metazoa; Arthropoda; Insecta; Diptera; Culicidae
Exons: 3
Source: RefSeq, a predicted model, not a curated record